AGUGAACGCUGGCGGUAGGCCUAACACAUGCAAGUCGAACGGCAGCACGGUAAGCGCUUGCUCUUACGGGUGGCGAGUGGCGGUAGGGUGCGGAAUACAUCGGAAUCUUCUUUUUCGUGGGUGAUAAUGUAGGGCAACUUAAGCUAAUACCGCAUACGACCUACGGGUGAAAGCCGAGGUUCUUUGGCCUUUUCGCGAUUGAAUGAGCAGAUGUCGGAUUAGCUAGUUGGCGGGGUAAAGGCCCACCAAGGCGACGCUCCGUAGCUGGUCUGAGAGGAUGAUCAGCCAAACUGGAACGGAGACACGGUCCAGACUCUACCGGGAGGCACCAGAGGGGAAUAUUGGACAAUGGGCGCAAGCAUAAUCAAGCCAUACCGCGUGGGUAAAAAAGGCCUUCGGGUUGUAAAGCCCUUUUGUAGGGAAAGAAAAGCAGCAGGUUAAAACCCCGCUGUUCUGACGGUACCCAAAGAAUAAGCACCGGCUAACUUCGUG
This 492-nucleotide ribosomal RNA is filed under the name uncultured bacterium. RNAcentral's name for it is "partial 16S ribosomal RNA". It matches the Rfam family "Bacterial small subunit ribosomal RNA", at positions 29 to 507 of the family's 1533-position model. The record is from RNAcentral.